AUUUUACCUCAAGCUUCCCCAAGUCCUUGACUGCUGCUCGUCUUCCACCACAUGCAUGAUGUCCUUGUUCCUUCGCUCUCUGGCGUUUAAUCAGUAGUUGAGUAAUGCACAGCUUUCUGAACAUUCCAGUUGUGGUUCUGCAGUGCUGCUCGGCACUCUUCUAUCGUCACACCGUGAACUGCUUCCUGCACCUGAGUCACACAACAAUUCCGGGUGAUACCAGCCAAAUGAGCAGAGGCCCCACGCCAUUGGAUGGAACGACCGUCAUUUGAGACUACAAAAAAGUGACGCCAUUCCUGUCUGGAUAUGCCUCCUACUAUAAAAAACUACUAUGAAAAAUAUAGACUGGAUCUUGUUCUCAGACUAGAGCUGUCCUAUCUAGUCUGACCUGAGCAUGAAAUGAUCUGGGAUGGGAGGCGGAACGUCUUCUCUACAAUGACUUGAACGAAUGUGAUUUUAUAAUGCAGUAUUUUCGUACGGUCAAUCCCCGUCUCUUCAUGGGUGUUCCGGAAGCACCAGCACACAGGUGUCUCCCCUUCUCGAAACCGUUUUUCUAUCUUCACCUUGACAAUUUCCUCCAAUCAACAUUUGCGACGACUGCAGUAAUAGUUCUACUAAACUAAAAGUUCAGCUGUAGAACCCUCCUCUCUUCAUUUGGCAUUUAACUCGCAACACAAUGCCACACUUGGACAUUUCUAGUGUAAAACGUAUAAGUGAUCGCCACUAAUAAUAAUGUCAUAUGAUCAAUUAACGGAGAGCAAUGGUGUCACGGUGCAGCCUUUGGACUAUAGGAUAGACAGGAUAGAGACGGGCGUUUCUCCAAGUGUGCAUGGUUCUAAUUCCAGGAACGAUUUACGAUUUUAUCGCUCAAAUGCUGGAUUGACCAUUGAACGGCUGCCCAACAAAACACACUUGACAAAAAAUAUGAUGACUGAAGCAUGAAGACGGUACAUAUAGAUCAGGGGUGGGCAAAUAUUUUGACUCAUGGGCCACAUCAAGUUUACAAAAUUGUCCAGGGGGCCAGAACAUAUAACACACACACAAUUUUAUGCUUAUACUUUUCCUUGAAUUAUUUGUCUAAUUUUAACUAUAAAAGUGUUAUACUAUCAGCUUUAUGUUCUCAUGUAUGUUCCUUUGUUCAGGAGCACUUUAAACAUCAGACCACAUCAAACUGUAAUUGUAAUUUGUAAUAAAUUGUAAUAAAAUGUAAUUUAUGUUAAUGGUAAU
This is a non-coding RNA of Doryrhamphus excisus (bluestripe pipefish), 1227 nucleotides long. The record is from RefSeq and is a predicted model, not a curated record. NCBI's taxonomy places the organism in Eukaryota, Metazoa, Chordata, Actinopteri, Syngnathiformes, Syngnathidae.